AUCCUUUUGUAGUUCAUGAGUAUGAUUGGGUGUUCACAUGCUUGUGUGAAAUGUGCCACCCUUGAACCUUGUUACGUUGGCACAUUACCCAUCUGACG
Molecule: small nucleolar RNA, 98 nt
Organism: Callithrix jacchus (white-tufted-ear marmoset)
Lineage: Eukaryota; Metazoa; Chordata; Mammalia; Primates; Cebidae
Source: Ensembl